Molecule: ribosomal RNA, 253 nt
Filed under: uncultured prokaryote
Description: partial 16S ribosomal RNA
Rfam family: Bacterial small subunit ribosomal RNA
Source: RNAcentral
UACGGAGGGUGCGAGCGUUGUUCGGAAUCACUGGGCGUAAAGCGCGUGUAGGCGGCCUGCUAAGUCUGAUGUGAAAGCCCGAGGCUCACCCUCGGAAGUGCAUUGGAAACUGGCAGACUGGAGUCCCGGAGAGGAGGGUGGAAUUCCUGGUGUAGCGGUGAAAUGCGUAGAUAUCAGGAGGAACACCGGUGGCGAAGGCGGCUACCUGGACAGAAACUGACGCUGAGGCGCGAAAGCUAGGGGAGCAAACAGG